Molecule: non-coding RNA, 871 nt
Organism: Danio rerio (zebrafish)
Lineage: Eukaryota; Metazoa; Chordata; Actinopteri; Cypriniformes; Danionidae
Source: the annotation of a RefSeq genome assembly
UCUUGAUGAGGGUCUGAUGAUGAGUUAAUGAGCAGAAGUGAAAGUGAAUCUGUUCCAGUUCAGAGAGUUAAACCAAUCAAACAGUGUUCAGAGUUUCUGCAGCUCAGAAUAGAGCAGAUCAAACCACAAGAGCUUCAUUUGACAUUAACGCUCAGUGCAGCUGUGUUCACCACUACAACACAUUACUGUUCAACUCUAUUAGCUGAGCGCAGUGUGUGUGUGUGGGUGUGUGUGAGUGUGUGUGUGUGUGUGUGUGUGUGUGUGUGUGUGUGUGUGUGUGUGUGUGUGUGUGUGUGUGUUUGCAUAUUGAGUGCUGUGAGUGUUUAUAGUGCUGUGAGUUGAACACUUCAUCACUGACACACACAUCAAUCUUCAUCAUCAUGACCUUCAUCAUCGUCUUCAUCUGGACUCUUUCAUACAGCUUUAUCCUGCGAGGCUCUAAAGCAGCUGAGAUCACAGUGACUCAGACUCCUUCUGUGAAAACAGUAAGACCUGGUGAAAAUAUUCAGAUGUAUUGCAAACUCAGUAAACAUUCAACCUGCGGCCCACCGUGUGUCUACUGGUACUUACAGAAACCAGGAGAAGUUCACAAACUCCUUAUAUAUGAUGCAAGCAGCCUUGCGUCAGGAACCCUAUCUAGAUUCAGUGGCAGUGGAUCUCAUAGUGAUUAUACCUUGAGCAUCAGUGGAGUCCAGACUGAAGAUGCUGGACAUUAUUACUGUCAGAGUUACUACUGGAUGAACAGUAAAAAUGUGUUCACACAGUGAUAAAGAGUGGUACAACAACCUCCGUCAGUCAGUCAGAGUCACAGAGACUGAACUGAUCCUGGAGCAGCUCAAACACACACACUACACACAGAUGAACACUGAGU